AGUUUUGCGCUGUGGCAGUAUUGUAGCCAAUGAGGUUUAUCUGAGGUACGAUUAUUGCUAAGAGAAAAA
This 69-nucleotide small nuclear RNA is filed under the name Equus caballus (horse). Its description in RNAcentral is "U4 spliceosomal RNA". It matches the Rfam family "U4 spliceosomal RNA", at positions 1 to 69 of the family's 138-position model. From Rfam's summary of the family: U4 small nuclear RNA (U4 snRNA) is a component of the major U2-dependent spliceosome. The structure of U4 snRNA from yeast and human has been reported. Lineage: Eukaryota; Metazoa; Chordata; Mammalia; Perissodactyla; Equidae. The record is from Rfam by way of RNAcentral.